This 74-nucleotide transfer RNA is filed under the name Lactobacillus delbrueckii subsp. bulgaricus. Its description in RNAcentral is "tRNA-Thr". It matches the Rfam family "tRNA". From Rfam's summary of the family: Transfer RNA (tRNA) molecules are approximately 80 nucleotides in length. Their secondary structure includes four short double-helical elements and three loops (D, anti-codon, and T loops). The record is from RNAcentral. Lineage: Bacteria; Bacillati; Bacillota; Bacilli; Lactobacillales; Lactobacillaceae.
UGCCAAUUUAGCUCAGUUGGUAGAGCAUCUCCCUCGUAAAGAGAAGGUCGUUGGUUCGAUUCCAACAAUUGGCA